GAUGAAGAACGUAGCGAAAUGCGAUAAGUAGUGUGAAUUGCAGAAUUCAGUGAAUCAUCGAAUCUUUGAACGCACAUUGCGCCCUUUGGUAUUCCUUAGGGCAUGCCUGUUCGAGCGUCAUUUAAACCUUCAAGCUCAGCUUGGUGUUGGGUGACUGUCCGCCCCCUCCGGGCGGUCGGACUCGCCUCAAAUUGAUUGGCGGCCGGUACUUUGGCUUCGAGCGCAGCAGAAACGCGAACUCGAGGCCGUCGUCCUGGCUCCCAGAAGCUAUCUUCACAAUUUUGACCUCGGAUCAGGUAGGGAUACCCGCUGAACUUAAGCAUAUCAAUAAGCGGAGGA
RNAcentral lists this unclassified non-coding RNA (339 nucleotides) under soil metagenome. Its description in RNAcentral is "partial contains 5.8S ribosomal RNA, internal transcribed spacer 2, and large subunit ribosomal RNA". The stretch from base 1 to 120 matches the Rfam family "5.8S ribosomal RNA", at positions 35 to 154 of the family's 154-position model. The record is from RNAcentral.